GACGAACCGAGCGAACGUUGUUCGGAAUCACUGGGCUUAAAGGGCGCGUAGGCGGGCCGCCAAGUUCGAGGUGAAAUCCUCCGGCUCAACCGGAGAACUGCCUCGAAUACUGGAGGCCUCGAGGCGGGUAGGGGCGUGCGGAACUGUGGGUGGAGCGGUGAAAUGCGUUGAUAUCCACAGGAACUCCGGUGGCGAAGGCGGCACGCUGGACCCGAUCUGACGCUGAGGCGCGAAAGCCAGGGGAGCAAACGGG
RNAcentral lists this ribosomal RNA (253 nucleotides) under uncultured bacterium. RNAcentral describes it as "partial 16S ribosomal RNA". It matches the Rfam family "Bacterial small subunit ribosomal RNA", at positions 524 to 776 of the family's 1533-position model. The record is from RNAcentral.